AUACAUGCAAGUCGAACGCGUCUCCGUUAAUGAUUUUAGGUGCUUGCACUUGAAAGAUUUAACAUUGAGACGAGUGGCGAACUGGUGAGUAACACGUGGGUAACCUGCCCUUGAAGUAGGGGAUAACACUUGGAAACAGGUGCUAAUACCGUAUAACAACCAAAACCACCUGGUUUUGGUUUAAAAGACGGCUUCGGCUGUCACUUUAGGAUGGACCCGCGGCGUAUUAGCUUGUUGGUAAGGUAACGGCUUACCAAGGCGAUGAUACGUAGCCGACCUGAGAGGGUAAUCGGCCACAUUGGGACUGAGACACGGCCCAAACUCCUACGGGAGGCAGCAGUAGGGAAUCUUCCACAAUGGACGAAAGUCUGAUGGAGCAACGCCGCGUGAGUGAUGAAGGGUUUCGGCUCGUAAAACUCUGUUGUUGGAGAAGAACAGGUGUCAGAGUAACUGUUGACAUCUUGACGGUAUCCAACCAGAAAGCCACGGCUAACUACGUGCCAGCAGCCGCGGUAAUACGUAGGUGGCAAGCGUUGUCCGGAUUUAUUGGGCGUAAAGCGAGCGCAGGCGGUUUUUUAGGUCUGAUGUGAAAGCCUUCGGCUUAACCGGAGAAGUGCAUCGGAAACCGGGAGACUUGAGUGCAGAAGAGGACAGUGGAACUCCAUGUGUAGCGGUGAAAUGCGUAGAUAUAUGGAAGAACACCAGUGGCGAAGGCGGCUGUCUGGUCUGUAACUGACGCUGAGGCUCGAAAGCAUGGGU
RNAcentral lists this ribosomal RNA (759 nucleotides) under Lentilactobacillus buchneri. RNAcentral's name for it is "bacterial SSU rRNA". It matches the Rfam family "Bacterial small subunit ribosomal RNA", at positions 51 to 766 of the family's 1533-position model. The record is from RNAcentral. Lineage: Bacteria; Bacillati; Bacillota; Bacilli; Lactobacillales; Lactobacillaceae.